CAGUCGCCCGGGAAUACGGAGGGUGCAAGCGUUAAUCGGAAUUACUGGGCGUAAAGCGCACGCAGGCGGUCUGACAAGUCAGAUGUGAAAUCCCCGGGCUUAACCUGGGAACUGCAUUUGAAACUGUCAGGCUGGAGUCUUGUAGAGGGGGGUGGAAUUCCAGGUGUAGCGGUGAAAUGCGUAGAGAUCUGGAGGAAUACCGGUGGCGAAGGCGGCCCCCUGGACAAAGACUGACGCUCAGGUGCGAAAGCGUGGGGAGCAAACAGGAUUAGAUACCCGAGUAGUCCCUGUCUCUUAUACA
Molecule: ribosomal RNA, 301 nt
Filed under: uncultured bacterium
Lineage: Bacteria
Description: partial 16S ribosomal RNA
Rfam family: Bacterial small subunit ribosomal RNA
Source: RNAcentral